AGUGAACGCUGGCGGUAGGCCUAACACAUGCAAGUCGAACGGCAGCACAGUAAGAGCUUGCUCUUACGGGUGGCGAGUGGCGGACGGGUGAGGAAUACAUCGGAAUCUACUUUUUCGUGGGGGAUAACGUAGGGAAACUUACGCUAAUACCGCAUACGACCUACGGGUGAAAGCAGGGGAUCUUCGGACCUUGCGCGAUUGAAUGAGCCGAUGUCGGAUUAGCUAGUUGGCGGGGUAAAGGCCCACCAAGGCGACGAUCCGUAGCUGGUCUGAGAGGAUGAUCAGCCACCCUGGAACUGAGACACGGUCCAGACCCCAACGGGGGGCAGAGGGGGGGAAUAUUGGCAAAUGGGCGAAAGCCUGACCCAGCCAUACCGGGGGGGUGAAGAAGGCCUUCGGGUUGUAAAGCCCUUUUGUUGGGAAAGAAAAGCAGCAGGUUAAAACCCCGCUGUUCGGACGGUACCCAAAGAAUAAACACCGGCGAACUUCGU
RNAcentral lists this ribosomal RNA (491 nucleotides) under uncultured bacterium. Its description in RNAcentral is "partial 16S ribosomal RNA". It matches the Rfam family "Bacterial small subunit ribosomal RNA", at positions 29 to 506 of the family's 1533-position model. The record is from RNAcentral.